This 1641-nucleotide ribosomal RNA is filed under the name [Mycoplasma] phocae. RNAcentral describes it as "Mycoplasma phocidae partial contains 16S ribosomal RNA and 16S-23S ribosomal RNA intergenic spacer". It matches the Rfam family "Bacterial small subunit ribosomal RNA". Lineage: Bacteria; Bacillati; Mycoplasmatota; Mycoplasmoidales; Metamycoplasmataceae. The record is from RNAcentral.
AACGCUGGCUGUGUGCCUAAUACAUGCAUGUCGAGCGAGGUUCUUUUAGGACCUAGCGGCGAAUGGGUGAGUAACACGUACUUAAUCUGCCCUUUAGAUUGGAAUACCCAAUGGAAACAUUGGCUAAUGCCGGAUACGCAUAGAAUCGCAUGAUUCUGUUGUGAAAGGAGCUCCAAAGCUCCACUAAAGGAUGAGGGUGCGGAACAUUAGUUAGUUGGUGAGGUAAUGGCCCACCAAGACUAUGAUGUUUAGCCGGGUCGAGAGACUGAACGGCCACAUUGGGACUGAGAUACGGCCCAAACUCCUACGGGAGGCAGCAGUAGGGAAUAUUCCACAAUGAGCGAAAGCUUGAUGGAGCGACACAGCGUGCACGAUGAAGGUCUUCGGAUUGUAAAGUGCUGUUAUAAGGGAAGAACACUCAGUAGAGGAAAUGCUAUUGAGCUGACGGUACCUUGUCAGAAAGCGAUGGCUAACUAUGUGCCAGCAGCCGCGGUAAUACAUAGGUCGCAAGCGUUAUCCGGAAUUAUUGGGCGUAAAGCGUUCGUAGGCUGUUUGUUAAGUCUAGAGUCAAAUCCCAGGGCUCAACCCUGGCUCGCUUUGGAUACUGGCAAACUAGAGUUAGAUAGAGGUAAGCGGAAUUCCAUGUGAAGCGGUGAAAUGCGUAGAUAUAUGGAAGAACACCAAAGGCGAAGGCAGCUUACUGGGUYUAUACUGACGCUGAGGGACGAAAGCGUGGGGAGCAAACAGGAUUAGAUACCCUGGUAGUCCACGCUGUAAACGAUGAUCAUUAGUCGGUGGAGAAUCACUGACGCAGCUAACGCAUUAAAUGAUCCGCCUGAGUAGUAUGCUCGCAAGAGUGAAACUUAAAGGAAUUGACGGGGACCCGCACAAGCGGUGGAGCAUGUGGUUUAAUUUGAAGAUACACGGAAAACCUUACCCACUUUUGACAUCCUUCGCAAAGCUAUAGAGAUAUAGCGGAGGCUAACGGAGUGACAGAUGGUGCAUGGUUGUCGUCAGCUCGUGUCGUGAGAUGUUUGGUCAAGUCCUGCAACGAGCGCAACCCCUAUCUUUAGUUACUAACAAGUAAUGUUGAGGACUCUAGAGAUACUGCCUGGGUAACUGGGAGGAAGGUGGGGAUGACGUCAAAUCAUCAUGCCUCUUACAAGUGGGGCCACACACGUGCUACAAUGGUCGGUACAAAGAGAAGCAAUAUGGCGACAUGGAGCAAAUCUCAAAAAGCCGAUCUCAGUUCGGAUUGGAGUCUGCAAUUCGACUCCAUGAAGUCGGAAUCGCUAGUAAUCGCAGAUCAGCUAUGCUGCGGUGAAUACGUUCUCGGGUCUUGUACACACCGCCCGUCACACCAUGGGAGCUGGUAAUACCCAAAGUCGGUUUGCUAACCUCGGAGGCAACUGCCUAAGGUAGGACUGGUGACUGGGGUGAAGUCGUAACAAGGUAUCCCUACGAGAACGUGGGGAUGGAUCACCUCCUUUCUACGGAGUACACCUAGUUAUGGAAAACAUAUUCGUAUUCAGUUUUGAGAGAUCUAUCUCUCUUUUGUUCUUUGAAAACUGAAUAUCGACAUUGAAAAAUUAUAUUAAUUAAUAUUUCAAAGUUUAGAUCAACCUAUAGAAUAUAUAUAUC